This 379-nucleotide long non-coding RNA is filed under the name Prunus persica (peach). RNAcentral's name for it is "long non-coding RNA (PPER_LNC006526)". The record is from RNAcentral. Lineage: Eukaryota; Viridiplantae; Streptophyta; Magnoliopsida; Rosales; Rosaceae.
UGGGUAUAUGACUAAAUAUCUCUUAUUUUUUAAACCUUUAAUUAUUAAUUCAAGCAUUUUCUAUUUCCUAAAAUAAUUUUAUUUGAUAAAAGUUCAGUAGUGGAAGUGAAGGUGGUGGUGAAAGAGAUAAAGGUGAAGGUGGCAGUGAUAGUGGAAGUGGUUGUGGGUGGUGAUGAAGCUAGAGGCGGUGGUUGUGGUAGUGAUGGUGGUGGAGAUGGUGGUUGUAGAGGUGAAAGUGGUAGCGGUGGCGGCGUGGUGGUGUAGGUGGAGGUGGAGGUGGAGGUGGUAGAGUUGCAUGUGGAGGUGGAUGUAGUGUCACUUAAAAACAAUUAUGAUGGUAUUUUGGGAAUUAAAAUAAUUCAUUAAAGACUUAUCUCUG